GCGGCGGACGGGUGAGUAACACGUGGGUAACCUGCCUGUAAGACUGGGAUAACUCCGGGAAACCGGAGCUAAUACCGGAUAGUUCCUUGAACCGCAUGGUUCAAGGAUGAAAGACGGUUUCGGCUGUCACUUACAGAUGGACCCGCGGCGCAUUAGCUAGUUGGUGGGGUAAUGGCUCACCAAGGCGACGAUGCGUAGCCGACCUGAGAGGGUGAUCGGCCACACUGGGACUGAGACACGGCCCAGACUCCUACGGGAGGCAGCAGUAGGGAAUCUUCCGCAAUGGACGAAAGUCUGACGGAGCAACGCCGCGUGAGUGAUGAAGGUUUUCGGAUCGUAAAGCUCUGUUGUUAGGGAAGAACAAGUGCGAGAGUAACUGCUCGCACCUUGACGGUACCUAACCAGAAAGCCACGGCUAACUACGUGCCAGCAGCCGCGGUAAUACGUAGGUGGCAAGCGUUGUCCGGAAUUAUUGGGCGUAAAGGGGCUCGCAGGCGGUUUCUUAAGUCUGAUGUGAAAGCCCCCGGCUCAACCGGGGAGGUCAUUGGAAACUGGGAACUUGAGUGCAGAGAGGAGAGUGG
Molecule: ribosomal RNA, 581 nt
Filed under: Bacillus pumilus
Lineage: Bacteria; Bacillati; Bacillota; Bacilli; Caryophanales; Bacillaceae
Description: bacterial SSU rRNA
Rfam family: Bacterial small subunit ribosomal RNA
Source: RNAcentral